AUUGAACGCUGGCGGCAGGCUUAACACAUGCAAGUCGAACGAGUGGCGGACGGGUGAGUAAUGUCUGGGAACCUGCCCGAUGGCGGGGGAUAACUACUGGAAACGGUAGCUAAUACCGCAUACCAUCGGAUCUGCCCAGAUGGGAUUAGCUAGUAGGUGGGGUAAAGGCUCACCUAGGCGACGAUCCCUAGCUGGUCUGAGAGGAUGACCAGCCACACUGGAACUGAGACACGGCCCAGACUCCUACGGGAGGCAGCAGUGGGGAAUAUGGCACAAUGGGGGCAAGCCUGAUGCAGCCAUGCCGCGUGUAUGAAGAAGGCCUUCGGGUUGUAAAGUACUUUCAGCGAGGAGGCGGUACUCGCAGAAGAAGCACCGGCUAACUACGUGCCAGCCGCCGCGGUAAUUC
Molecule: ribosomal RNA, 406 nt
Filed under: uncultured bacterium
Lineage: Bacteria
Description: partial 16S ribosomal RNA
Rfam family: Bacterial small subunit ribosomal RNA
Source: RNAcentral